AGAGUUUGAUCAUGGCUCAGAAUGAACGCUGGCGGCGUGCCUAACACAUGCAAGUCGAACGGUAAGGCCCCUUCGGGGGUACACGAGUGGCGAACGGGUGAGUAACGCGUGGGUAACCUACCCAGAAGUGGGGGAUAGCUCCGGGAAACCGGGGGUAAUACCGCAUAAGCCCCAGAUGACGCAAGUUGACUGGGGGACAGGCGGGGAUCUUCGGACCUGCCGCUUUUGGAUGGGCCCGCGUCCGAUUAGCUAGUUGGUGAGGUAAUGGCUCACCAAGGCAACGAUCGGUAGCCGGCCUGAGAGGGUGAUCGGCCACAUUGGGACUGAGACACGGCCCAGACUCCUACGGGAGGCAGCAGUGGGGAAUUUUGGGCAAUGGGGGAAACCCUGACCCAGCGACGCCGCGUGGGGGAUGAAGGUCUUCGGAUUGUAAACCCCUGUCAGGUGGGAAGAAGGAUGUACCGGCUAAUCUCCGGCGCAUUUUGACGGUACCACCAAAGGAAGCCCCGGCUAACUCCGUGCCAGCAGCCGCGGUAAUACGGAGGGGGCAAGCGUUAUUCGGAUUUACUGGGCGUAAAGCGCACGUAGGUGGCAAAAUAAGUCAAAGGUGAAAGCCCUCGGCUCAACCGAGGAAUUGCCUUUGAAACUGUUUUGCUUGAGUCCAGGAGGGGGGAGCGGAAUUCCCAGUGUAGCGGUGAAAUGCGUAGAUACUGGGAGGAACACCGGUGGCGAAGGCGGCUCCCUGGACUGGUACUGACACUGAGGUGCGAAAGCGUGGGUAGCAAACAGGAUUAGAUACCCUAGUAGUCC
RNAcentral lists this ribosomal RNA (810 nucleotides) under uncultured bacterium. RNAcentral describes it as "bacterial SSU rRNA". It matches the Rfam family "Bacterial small subunit ribosomal RNA", at positions 8 to 796 of the family's 1533-position model. The record is from RNAcentral.